GAGUUUGAUCCUGGCUCAUGACGAACGCUUGCGGCGUGCCUAAGAAAUGCAAGUCGAACGGGAAGAUUUAUCUUCUAGUGGCGAACGGUCGCGUAACACGUAGGCAACCUGCCCGAAAGUGGGGGACAACAGCCUGAAAGGGCUGCUAAUACCGCAUGUGGUUGUUUGAAGGCAUCUUUAAACAACUAAAGCUUUAUGCGCUUUCGGAUGGGCUUGCGGCCUAUCAGGUAGUUGGUGGGGUAAUGGCCUACCAAGCCGACGACGGGUAGCUGGUCUGAGAGGACGAUCAGCCGGAUUGGGACUGAGAUACGGCCCAGACUCCUACGGGGGGCAGCAAUUAGGAAUCUUGCGCAAUGGGGGCAUCCCUGACGCAGCGACGCCGCGUGCGGGAUGAAGGCAUUCGUGUCGUAAACCGCUUUUGACGAGGAAGAAGAAUGUGACGGUACUCGUCGAAUAAGCCCCGGCUAACUACGUGCCAGCAGCCGCGGUAAUACGUAGGGGGCGAGCGUUGUCCGAAGUUACUGGGCGUAAAGCGCGCGUAGGCGGUCAUUUAAGUUCGGGGUGAAAGGUUCAGCGCUCAACGCGAACAGUGCCUUGAAUACUGGGUGACUUGAGUUCGGGAGAGGGCAGUGGAAUUCCUGGUGUAGCGGUGAAAUGCGUAGAUAUCAGGAGGAACACCGAUGGCGAAGGCAGCUGCCUGGCCUAGAACUGACGCUGAGGUGCGAAAGCGUGGGGAGCGAACGGGAUUAGAUACCCCGGUAGUCCACGCCGUAAACGAUGAGUGCUAGGUGUUCGGGGUAUCGACCCCCCGGGUGCCGCCGCUAACGCAGUAAGCACUCCGCCUGGGGAGUACGGCCGCAAGGUUGAAACUCAAAGGAAUUGACGGGGGCCCGCACAAGCGGUGGAGCAUGUGGAUUAAUUCGUCACUAACCGAAGAACCUUACCCAGGCUUGACAUCGCGUGUAACUCAGUGAAGGCUGAGCCCUUCCGCAAGGAAGCACAAAGACAGGUGUUGCAUGGCUGUCGUCAGCUCGUGUGGUGAGAUGUUGGGUUAAGUCCCGCAACGAGCGCAACCC
RNAcentral lists this ribosomal RNA (1076 nucleotides) under uncultured bacterium. RNAcentral describes it as "bacterial SSU rRNA". It matches the Rfam family "Bacterial small subunit ribosomal RNA", at positions 9 to 1104 of the family's 1533-position model. The record is from RNAcentral.